GGAAGUGAACCAUCUCAGUACCCACAGGAAAAGAAAACAACUGUGAUUCCGGGGGUAGCGGCGAGCGAAACCGGAAGAGCCCAAACCGUGUACGUGUAAGCUUGCAGGCGUUGCGUACGCGGGGUCGUGGGAGCCACAAGUCGGAUCUGCUUGUCCGGCACAGAGUUACAAAGUCAGUCGUUAGCGGAAGGGUCUGGAAAGGCCGACCAUAGAGGGUGAUAGUCCCGUAUGCGAAAGCGAAUUGACCUCUGAGUGGAGUUCCCAAGUACAGCGGGGCACGAGAAACCUUGCUGGAAUUUGUCGCGACCAUGCGAUAAGGCUAAAUAGGACCAUCAGACCGAUAGUGAACCAGUACCGUGAGGAAAAGGCGAAAAGAACCCCGAUGAGGGGAGUGAAAUAGAACCUGAAACCGUCAAUCUACAAGCAGUGGAACCGCUAUGGUUUACCAGCGGAACCGCGUGCCUUUUGCAUAAUGAGCCGGCUAGUUAUUUUCAGUGGCGAGGUGAAGCCGAAGAGGCGAAGCCGAAGGGAAACCGAGUCUGAAUAGGGCGAUAGUCGCUGGGAAUAGACGCGAAACGGGAUGAUCUAUCCUUGAGCAGGAUGAAGGUAGGGUGAAACCUAUUGGAGGUCCGAACCAGUGUGGGUUGAAAACCGCUUGGAUGACUUGAGGAUAGGGGUGAAAGGCCAAUCAAAUUCCGUGAUAGCUCGUUCUCCCCGAAAUAGCUUUAGGGCUAGCCUCGGAUGUUUCGUCGUGCAGGUAGAGAACUGAAUGGACUAGGGGGCUUACCAGCUUACUGAAUCCAGCCAAUCUUCGAAUGGCACGCCGUGUAGUCCGGGAGUCAGACUGCGGGUGAUAAGAUCCGUAGUCGAGAGGGAAACAACCCAGAUCGCCAGCUAAGGUCCCAAAAUAUAUGCUAAGUGGAAAAGGAUGUGGAUGUGCUUAGACAGCCAGGAGGUUAGCUUAGAAGCAGCUAUCCUUUAAAGAAAGCGUAAUAGCUCACUGGUCAAGCGGGUCUGUGCCGACAAUUCAACGGGGCUCAAGCAUAUUACCGAAGCUGCGAACUCUAUGGAGUGGUAGGGGAGCAUUCCCUAAGUCUGCGAAGGUUGACCGUCAGGACAGCUGGAGACAUGGGAAGAGACUCUGUCGGCAUAAGUAGCGUAAAGAGGGGCGAGAACCCCCUCCGCCGUAAGACUAAGGUUUCCAACGCAAGGUCAAUCCGCGUUGGGUUAGUCGGAGCCUAAGCUGAGGCCGAAAGGCGUAGGCGAUGGUAAGCCGGUUAAUAUUCCGGCACCAUGUACGGUUCGUUUGUACGAUGCAGGGACGCAGGAAGGUAGGGACGCAGGGCUAUGGAAUGUUCUGCGGAAGGUCUCAAGGGUGGGACUUAGGGAAGUCCGGGUCCCAUAAGCUCGAGAGCCAAGACGAAAAGUCCUGAUCCUACACUGCCGAGAAAAGCUGCUAAGGAGAGCCGUGUGUGUCCGUACCGCAAACCGACACAGGUAGUCGAGGAGAGAAUCCUCAGGCGUUUGAGAGAACUCUGCUGAAGGAACUCGGCAAAUUAACCCCGUAACUUCGGGACAAGGGGUACCCCGGUAGGGUUUAUAGCCCGAUGGGGUGGCACAUAAAUGUCCCAGGCGACUGUUUAACAAAAACACAGGUCUCUGCAAACUCCAAAGAGGAGGUAUAGGGGCUGACGCCUGCCCGGUGCCGGAAGGUUCAAGAGGAGCGGUUAGCGCAAGCGAAGCUGCGAAUUUAAGCCCCGGUGAACGGCGGCCGUAACUAUAACGGUCCUAAGGUAGCGAAAUUCCUUGUC
RNAcentral lists this ribosomal RNA (1811 nucleotides) under uncultured Acidobacteriota bacterium. RNAcentral's name for it is "bacterial LSU rRNA". It matches the Rfam family "Bacterial large subunit ribosomal RNA", at positions 189 to 1973 of the family's 2925-position model. The record is from RNAcentral. Lineage: Bacteria; Pseudomonadati; Acidobacteriota.